RNAcentral lists this ribosomal RNA (119 nucleotides) under Pteropus alecto (black flying fox). The record is from RNAcentral. RNAcentral also lists the same sequence under 1 other name. Lineage: Eukaryota; Metazoa; Chordata; Mammalia; Chiroptera; Pteropodidae.
GUCUACGUCCAUGCCACCCUGGACAAACCCGAUCCCGUCUAAUCUCGGAAGCCAAACAGGGUCAGGCCUGAUUAGUACUUGGAUGGGAGACCACCUAGAAAGACCAGGUGCUGUAGGAG